CCUACGGGUGGCUGCAGUGAGGAAUAUUGGUCAAUGGGCGCGAGCCUGAACCAGCCAAGUAGCGUGAAGGAUGACUGCCCUACGGGUUGUAAACUUCUUUUAAGAGGGAAGAGCAGAAGACGGUACCUCUUGAAUAAGCCACGGCUAACUACGGGCCAGCAGCCGCGGUAAUACGGAGGUGCAAGGGUUGUCCGGAUUUACUGGGUGGAAAGGGCGGGCCGCCGGGAAGAACAGUCAGAUGUGAAAUCCCGGGGCCGAACCCCGGAACUGCAUUUGAAACUGUUUUUCUUGAGUACCGAAGAGGUCAUCGGAAUUCCUUGUGGAGCGGUGAAAGGAGUAGAUAUAAGGAAGAACACCAGUGGCGAAGGCGGAUGACUGGACGGCAACUGACGGUGAGGCGCGAAAGCGUGGGGAGCAAACAGGAUCAGAUACCCCAGUAGUC
RNAcentral lists this ribosomal RNA (442 nucleotides) under uncultured bacterium. RNAcentral's name for it is "partial 16S ribosomal RNA". It matches the Rfam family "Bacterial small subunit ribosomal RNA", at positions 338 to 795 of the family's 1533-position model. The record is from RNAcentral.